GUAGUCGUGGCCGGGUGGUUAUGGCGAUGGACUAAAAAUCCAUUGGCCUCUGCCAACGCAGGAUCGAAUCCUGCUGACUACG
RNAcentral lists this transfer RNA (82 nucleotides) under Saccoglossus kowalevskii. Its description in RNAcentral is "tRNA-Phe". It matches the Rfam family "tRNA". From Rfam's summary of the family: Transfer RNA (tRNA) molecules are approximately 80 nucleotides in length. The record is from RNAcentral. Lineage: Eukaryota; Metazoa; Hemichordata; Enteropneusta; Harrimaniidae.